RNAcentral lists this ribosomal RNA (422 nucleotides) under Coniolariella macrothecia. RNAcentral's name for it is "LSU rRNA". It matches the Rfam family "Eukaryotic large subunit ribosomal RNA", at positions 73 to 514 of the family's 3401-position model. Lineage: Eukaryota; Fungi; Ascomycota; Sordariomycetes; Xylariales; Xylariaceae. The record is from RNAcentral.
AAACCCCCCCUCCACAGAAGNNNNNGCUCAAAUUUGAAAUCUGGCCCUCGGGUCCGAGUUGUAAUUUGUAGAGGAUGCUUUUGGCGCGGUGCCUUCCGAGUUCCCUGGAACGGGACGCCUUAGAGGGUGAGAGCCCCGUACGGUUGGACACCAAGCCUCUGUAAAGCUCCUUCGACGAGUCGAGUAGUUUGGGAAUGCUGCUCUAAAUGGGAGGUAAAUUUCUUCUAAAGCUAAAUAUUGGCCAGAGACCGAUAGCGCACAAGUAGAGUGAUCGAAAGAUGAAAAGCACUUUGAAAAGAGGGUUAAAUAGCACGUGAAAUUGUUGAAAGGGAAGCGUUUGCGACCAGACCUCUCCCCGGCGGAUCAUCCGGCGUUCUCGCCGGUGCACUCCGCCGGGCUGAGGCCAGCAUCGGUUCCCGCGG